RNAcentral lists this long non-coding RNA (620 nucleotides) under Triticum aestivum (bread wheat). RNAcentral's name for it is "long non-coding RNA (TAES_LNC012050)". Lineage: Eukaryota; Viridiplantae; Streptophyta; Magnoliopsida; Poales; Poaceae. The record is from RNAcentral.
CACAUAUGUCAUGAAAUAGCAAUUAAAAUGUUCAAUUAAUACACACUCACCCCACCGGAAACAUACAUUAAUGUUUAAUUAAAAAGCACAUAUGUCAUGAAACUAAUAAUAAAACUUAAAAGGUGCACAUAAUAUAUCAGAAUGUUCAAUUAAUAAGCACAUAUGUCAUGAAAUAGCAACAUAUUGCCCAUGCAUUUAUACAUUUCUUUAAUACUCGCACCACGGUCAUAAAAUAUGUUGUCCUCCCUCUUCUUGCUCCCAUGGAUCUGUUCUACAAAAAUAAUAGCAAUUAAAAUAGACAUGGCUGGAAACGUGCAACUGGUACCGGUUUUCUAUAUUGGUAGUGAAACCACUAAAUAUUAUCCAAUAUAACUAAAAAUCAUCAAAAUUAUGUUCUAAAAUAAUUACUUUGUUAUUAUACCUUUCCGUCAUUGUGACUAUCCUUGGCGAAGAUGGCGACUCCGACACUGGCUUCAUCGCUAUGGUGGAGAUCAAGGAUCCUCGCCUUUGGUGUGAUAGUUUUAGUAUAUCCUUGCAUGCGUCAUGUUAAGUCCCGUGAUUUUAAUCAGAUCGUAAAGGAAGCGGUUUGCUGCAUACACUGAAGGAUGAUUUUAGAAUUC